Molecule: transfer RNA, 64 nt
Filed under: Phascolosoma sp. MZK-2017
Lineage: Eukaryota; Metazoa; Annelida; Sipuncula; Phascolosomatiformes; Phascolosomatidae
Description: tRNA-Asp
Source: RNAcentral
GGAAGUCUAGUUAAUUAAUAAUAUAGACCUGUCACGCCUAAGUAGCACCUUAUUGCGACUUCCU